UACUGUAGUCAUUUCAAAUGUAAGAGAUUUUCCAUGCUUUAACCAUUAAUGCCGUAGAAAGUAUGAUAACUCAAUAUUGAUUGGUCAGCUAAGAUAACAUUUCAAACAGCAUUAUUUGUAACAAAACUUCUCCAAGGAUAAACUACAUUAACAAAUUACCUUAUAGGAUUGUAGUACUGUCAAAUAAACAUGAUUAAUCAGAUUAACAGCGUCCUGACUCCAAACAAUAUAACUUUCACAAGUUUAAUCUGGUCAAGAUCCAGAAUUGUAAAUUGAUUUUUUUUAUGGAUAAAACUGUCAAAUGAAAGGCGAAAAGGGUAAAAAUUCUCAGUCGAGGGAAAUAACUCCAAUAAGAGGUAAAACUAAUGAUUUUGGUCAUGCUGAUUACUUAUUUGAAGAUCUUAUUUAGCUAGAAAUUUUUCCAAUUGACAGUUUCUUUCUAUGACAGUUUAGUCUAUGUGCUAAAGUUUCUGCACAAAAUUACCUUUGGUCAAAAGCUACUGACAUAUAAAUAUUCAAGUAGUUAUUCAUUCUUGCUUUCCAAAUGUUUUGGUUGAGUGUCUUAAAAGGUAAAUCUAGAAAAGAGCUUCAGAUGCACCAAAUUUAACAUUUUAAUUUCUACCUUUUUUGUUCUUCAGACAAUUUGAUAUAGGGUUGAUAGAUUUUCAUUUGAAAUGCAAAGGGUCAUUAAAUUUUAUAUAUAUCACUGUUCUAGCACUUCAAGGAACAGG
RNAcentral lists this long non-coding RNA (731 nucleotides) under Mytilus galloprovincialis (Mediterranean mussel). Lineage: Eukaryota; Metazoa; Mollusca; Bivalvia; Mytilida; Mytilidae. The record is from RNAcentral.